AUGGCGUCUCCGUCCCCCUCGCCGGCCCUGUCGCCGGCGCCCUGGAACCCGGUGCUCCUCACCGGGCUGCAUGCCGCUCCUACGCCGAACAACUACACUGGAGGUGGUGAUUGGUAUAUGGACACCAGUGCCACGGCUCACAUGUUUGCUCAUCCUGGUAACCUUGCCUCCUUCACUCCUGUCUUCACCGACCCCCGUAUCAUUGUCGACGAUGGUUCCACACUUCCUAUCACACAUGUUGGGCACACUUCUUUUCCUUCUACUUCUACGCCUUUAUCUUUGUCUAACAUACUUGUGUCUCCUCAUCUUAUUAAGAAUCUUAUCUUCGUUCGUUGUUUCACUCGUGAAAAUCCUGUCACUGUUGAAUUUGACGAGCUUGCUUUUCGUGUCAAGGAAGCUCGAACCAGGAUGGUCCUCCACCGAUGUGACAGCCCCGACGAGCUCUAUCCGGUGCAUUCGCCCUCAUCCGCCACCACCACACCGGUCGCUCUCUUCGUUGGAGUUGAUCUCUAG
RNAcentral lists this ribosomal RNA (513 nucleotides) under Triticum aestivum (bread wheat). Its description in RNAcentral is "partial small subunit ribosomal RNA". Lineage: Eukaryota; Viridiplantae; Streptophyta; Magnoliopsida; Poales; Poaceae. The record is from RNAcentral.